Molecule: transfer RNA, 86 nt
Filed under: Curtobacterium citreum
Lineage: Bacteria; Bacillati; Actinomycetota; Actinomycetes; Micrococcales; Microbacteriaceae
Description: tRNA-Arg
Source: RNAcentral
UGUGCACGUGGCCCGUUGGGUCAACGGUUUUCGGUACCGGUAGUAGACGAUAUCCGGCGAGCCUGGAGUCUUUCCUGGUUGCGCUG